UAAGUUAAUUUGGAGUUUACUAAGAUAAAUAGCUAGUUAUGAAGCUAUUUCGAAGCUAUACGUGGGUUAUUCGAUCUACUUGAUGCAGUUUGGUCGCAGCAGGUUUCUGAACCACGUAGAGCUUAUCUGGUGACCUGGGAGGCUGGUUUAGAAGGUGUUCUACCCUGAGCAAGAUUACGAUCGAGCCCUGGAUUGUCUUCGACUGACUUGUGAGGACUUUUGGAGGUUACAUUUGAGCAGGAUUGAGGCUUCGUUGAGCUGGAUUUCGGGACUCUUGUGGACUGAAUUGGAGUUUUG
Molecule: long non-coding RNA, 297 nt
Organism: Ananas comosus (pineapple)
Lineage: Eukaryota; Viridiplantae; Streptophyta; Magnoliopsida; Poales; Bromeliaceae
Exons: 3
Source: RefSeq, a predicted model, not a curated record